CCCUUAGAUGUUCUGGGCCGCACGCGCGCUACACUGACGAUGUCAACGAGUCUCUCCUUGGCCGAAAGGUCUGGGUAAUCUUCUGAAACAUCGUCGUGCUGGGGAUAGAUCAUUGCAAUUUUUGAUCUUGAACGAGGAAUUCCUAGUAAGCGCGAGUCAUCAGCUCGCGUUGAUUACGUCCCUGCCCUUUGUACACACCGCCCGUCGCUACUACCGAUUGAAUGGUUUAGUGAGGACUCCUGAUUGGCGCCGCCGCCCCGGCAACGGAGCAGUGGACUGCCGAAAAGUUGUUCAAACUUGACCAUUUAGAGGAAGUAAAAGUCGUAACA
Molecule: ribosomal RNA, 329 nt
Filed under: uncultured eukaryote
Lineage: Eukaryota
Description: partial 18S ribosomal RNA
Rfam family: Eukaryotic small subunit ribosomal RNA
Source: RNAcentral